UACCCUGAGCGGCGGAUCACUCGGCUCGUAGUCGAUGAAAGACGCAGCAACUGCGCGUCGC
This 61-nucleotide ribosomal RNA is filed under the name Orius insidiosus. Its description in RNAcentral is "partial 5.8S ribosomal RNA". Lineage: Eukaryota; Metazoa; Arthropoda; Insecta; Hemiptera; Anthocoridae. The record is from RNAcentral.